This 423-nucleotide ribosomal RNA is filed under the name uncultured bacterium. RNAcentral's name for it is "bacterial SSU rRNA". It matches the Rfam family "Bacterial small subunit ribosomal RNA", at positions 917 to 1341 of the family's 1533-position model. The record is from RNAcentral.
GGACCCGCACAAGCGGUGGAGUAUGUGGUUUAAUUCGAUGCAACACGAAGAACCUUACCAGGGUUUGAAAUCAUUUCAAAACUCCUUGAAAGAGGAGCCUCCUUCGGGAUGAAAUGACAGGUGGUGCAUGGCUGUCGUCAGCUCGUGUUGUGAAAUGUCGAGUUAAGUCCCGUAACGAGCGCAACCCUUGUCCUUAGUUGCCAGCACGUAAUGGUGGGAACUCUAAGGAGACUGCCGGUGACAAACCGGAGGAAGGUGGGGACGACGUCAAGUCAUCAUGGCCCUUAUGGGCUGGGCUACACACGUGCUACAAUGGUCGGUACAGAGGGCCGCAAUCCCGCGAGGGGAGCCAAUCCCACAAAGCCGAUCUUAGUCCGGAUCGCAGUCUGCAACUCGACUGCGUGAAGUUGGAAUCGCUAGUAA